Molecule: long non-coding RNA, 2648 nt
Organism: Astatotilapia calliptera (eastern happy)
Lineage: Eukaryota; Metazoa; Chordata; Actinopteri; Cichliformes; Cichlidae
Source: Ensembl
CAGCAGGUGUGACAACAUGAUUUGUUGUGCUUGAUAACACACUAAACAACACUUUCAGUCUUUAUUUUCUCUUUUUAUUAUUGCCCCUCUCCUUUCCCCGAUGUCACAGCCUGACCUGAACCACAGAAGACAGGGCAUCACAGACAUCUUACACCUUUAAACCUCGUUAAACAGAGCGCGCACACACACACGCACCUCUCUUUGGCUGACAUUAAAUAACCACAUAAAUACACAACUACACCAACAUCAACUCACAAUUACGAUAAAAACAGGUUAUUAGCCUUCAAAAAUCUAGAACUCUUUUACAAGAUGGCUAAAAUUCAGAAAUUCAUUCAACAGCAGACGUUUCAAGUUUCGAAGGUCAGUUUUUUUUUUUCAAUUGAACCGCUUUGUAAUGAAAAGAGGGACUCCCCCCUCCCUGCUGUUUAUACUUUGUUAAAGCUGACAAUGCCGACUGAACACAGUGCCCACAAUCAGAUUCAGCUUUUCAUUUUGUUUACAGGCUUUUGUCAAAGUAAUAACAUAUAUUUUGGAAUUUCAAUUAACUGUAAUUAUUUUCUGAAUUGAAAGUGAACUGACCGUCCAACAGUUCAGUCACAAACUGAUGAACCAGUUGCAACCUUUGGAUUAUACUGCUUUACCUGAGCAUGAUUAAUGAGAUGAGAAACAGUCAUUUGACAUUAAAAACACACCUCAAUAUAUGGUGACAGACUGCAGACACAACUAUACUACUGACUUAAUCAAGUGGCUUAUCCCUGUAACUCUAAAACAUCUCAGUAAAAGAAUACAGCAGGUUCCUAACAUUUGGAUUUAAUAUCACAUUAUCUGAAGGCACAUUUACAGAUGCGUCUUUGUUCCUACUUAACAGCUGAAGAACACAGAGCUAAACAGCUUGAUCAGGCUGGCAUGAGUGAAAAAUUAUAAAAUAUACUACUCUUUUUUGUUUAAUGCAUGAAGUAAAACAAAUCAUGUUAGCAAUAAUUUAUCAGGCACACUGCAAACUUGCAUCUCUGCAGAUGCUUUGUAUGUUACAUUAGAGAGUAUUUGGGCUGUGGUUGCUUUGGUUACAGUGUUACAAGCUUUAGAUGAUGGUUUUCAGUCUGCGGGACACCUGAUUUUGUAAUCCAGACGUUUGAUGUGUGAAACAGAUAUAGGAACAUUUUGACAUUUUUGGUUAAAUUACCCUUCCUUCUUUUCUUGCAACAGGAUAGACUUCAGUCAUAAACAGGCUUAGAGACGGGUCGGCGACAACUAGGGAAAAAUAUGUAUCCAAAAUCCAGUUGGCGAUUGGUUGGUGGCUGUUGCAGAUCCCAUCUGUUGUCUGCACACCUGUCAACAAACAGUCACCAAGCAGCAGUGAAACUGUGAAAAGUGCAAAGCAAACCAGACUCGAUUUUCACACCUCUUAGAUUCAAACUUGUCCGACAUUUUUAGUAGAUGAACCUCUGGUAUCAGUUUGAGCAUCCUGUUUGGUUUUGAGUUAUUGACGGAGGUGUUUACAGACAGACUGGCAUCUUCCAUGCAAACUACACGUGACUGUGGCAAAUCUGAUAAAAAGGAAUCAUGAGGACGUUUUACGUCAGUGCUCACUAACUGGUCUCCAAGUCUGUAUGACUGAAGCCUUAAAUAACAUGAUUAACUCUCAAAUCCAGCAGGUAGUUCAGCCUUUUUAAGGGACGGAAACAGCUAACAGUGGCCUUGUCUAAGGUAAAACUGCUUGAAAAACUAACACUUAAUGUUCAAUUUACUUAUUAUUAAAAAAAGAAAAAAGAUAAAACAUAGAAUUUAUAAAAAGAAAAGACUACUACUGUUCUGCCAUCUUUAAAACAGGCUGUUUCCCCAUUCCCAGUCUAUUUGCCAAGCUGAGCUAACAGCUAGAUAUGAGAGCAGUAUUGAUAAUCUAAUUCUUGGUUAGAAAGCAGGCGUGCUGAUCUUUGGAUGAAAUCCACCACAGACUUAAAGUCCGUGGCGCAUUUGAACCGGAAAUGUCGGCAGUUCAGGUGAGAAAAACAGACUGCUGAUGUGUGAGGGGAAAAAACCAUCUCCAGAGCAAAUAGCAAGCACUGCUCUGAUCCAAAUUAAACUAAAGGCACAAAUGGUCUGAAUGUUGGCACAAUGGACGGUUCAGGAAAGUGUGAGCGAUCUGAGGAGGUGGAUCGAGGCGAUGAGAGGUCCCACGUAUUUUUCUUUAUUUCCUCUUUAUGGAGAAGAGCAGGCGUGGUGAGGAUAGUGCAGUCAGUGGUGGUGCAGUGGGGGUGCAGCAGAAGAAUCGCUGUGCACAGUUUGUUUGAUCAUAUCGCGUCUGACAUCGUGAAUAUGAGCAGAAGGCUGAAUAACAGCGCAGGAAGUGAAGUCGUUACACCGUGGCCUCCGAUUCCCAGAGGUCCUUGUGGUUCUCCAAACAGACGGCCUACUCACUGAAGCUGAAGUUCAGACCAGAAGACUCUGUAAUCGGGGAUGAGGGGCCCGCACUGGAUACAGCACUGGAGGGGAUGCUGCCAUCUGAACAGAAAACACACACACACAAGCUCUCUGUAAACACUUGUUUUCCCCCACUGGUACAAACUGUCGAUGUUUUAAAAAGUCCAUCCAUGGCGCAACUAAUAAUCCCAUUACUUUCCACCCCGGAGCCCUCGCUUCACUCUGCG